CCCUUAGAUGUUCUGGGCGGCCCGCGCACUACACUGGCACUCUCAAUCAGAGCCUGGAUCUAACACUUUGGGGUAUUCUAUGAAGUGGUGUCGUGACUGGGAUUAACCCUUGCAAUUAUUGGUUACGAACGAGGAAUUCCUUGUAAUCGCGGUUUAUCAGCCCGCGUUGAAUGCGUCCCUGCCCUUUGUACACACCGCCCGUCGCUCCUACCGAUUGGGUGUGCUGGUGAAAUGUUCGGAUCGGCCGUUUGUCGCGGUUUCCGCGGCUCGUGGCUGAGAAGUUCAUUAAACCCUCCCACCUAGAGGAAGGAGAAGUCGUAACA
RNAcentral lists this ribosomal RNA (323 nucleotides) under uncultured eukaryote. RNAcentral's name for it is "partial 18S ribosomal RNA". It matches the Rfam family "Eukaryotic small subunit ribosomal RNA", at positions 1470 to 1796 of the family's 1831-position model. The record is from RNAcentral.